RNAcentral lists this ribosomal RNA (773 nucleotides) under uncultured Neocallimastigales. RNAcentral's name for it is "partial large subunit ribosomal RNA". It matches the Rfam family "Eukaryotic large subunit ribosomal RNA", at positions 26 to 612 of the family's 3401-position model. Lineage: Eukaryota; Fungi; Neocallimastigomycota; Neocallimastigomycetes; Neocallimastigales. The record is from RNAcentral.
CGCAUCUGUGCAUGCAGCAUAUCAAUAAGCGGAGGAAAAGAAACUAACAAGGAUUCCCUUAGUAACGGCGAGUGGAGCGGGAAGAGCUCAAAUUUGAAAUCUUCAAGGUUUUACCUUGACGAAUUGUAGUUUAAAGAAGUGUUUUCUGCUGAAGUUUUGGUAAAAGUUCUUUGGAAUAGGACAUCAUAGAGGGUGAGAAUCCCGUAUUUGACCAUUAUUUCCAGCUUUGUGAUACACUUCAAAGAGUCGGAUUGUUUGGGAAUGCAGUCCAAAAUGGGUGGUAAAUUUCAUCUAAAGCUAAAUAUUGGCGAGAGACCGAUAGCGAACAAGUACCGUGAGGGAAAGAUGAAAAGAACUUUGAAAAGAGAGUUAAACAGUACGUGAAAUUGUCAAAAGGGAAGCGUUUGACACCAGUGUUGUCUUCUCGAAAAUCAAUUAAAAAUGGCUCGAUUUUGUAUUGCUGAGACCUUAAAAGCUCACUGUACAUUUUUCGUGUCUUUUUUAAUGCACUUUUCGUUUAACAAGUCAACAUCAGUUUCUUUUGUUGUAAAAGGGUCAUUGGAAGGUGGCUUUCUUUUCGGAGAAAGUGUUUAUAGCCUUUGGCCUCUGCAAUCGGAGAGACUGAGGUCUGCAGCGUAGACUCUUCGGGGUUAGAUACAUUUGUGCUAAGUUAUAGCUUUUUAUAGACAACUUGUUGACUAUAAUUAGUCUUGUAGCUUACUCGCUUAUGCUAUUUUACCUACGCUUAGGAUGUUGACGCAUGAGAUAUACGC